CCUACGGGUGGCAGCAGUGAGGAAUAUUGGUCAAUGGACGAGAGUCUGAACCAGCCAAGUAGCGUGAAGGAUGACUGCCCUAUGGGUUGUAAACUUCUUUUAUAUGGGAAUAAAACAGGGUAUGCAUACCCUCUUGUAUGUACCAUAUGAAUAAGGAUCGGCUAACUCCGUGCCAGCAGCCGCGGUAAUACGGAGGAGGCGAGCGUUAUCCGGAAUGACUGGGCGUAAAGGGUGCGUAGGUGGUUUGGCAAGUUAGUAGCGUAACUCCAAGGCUCAACCUUGGAACUACUACUAAAACUGUUGGACUUGAGUGCAGGAGGGGCAACCGGAAUUCCUAGUGUAGCGGUGGAAUGCGUAGAUAUUAGGAGGAACACCAGUGGCGAAGGCGGGUUGCUAGACUGUAACUGACACUGAGGCACGAAAGCGUGGGGAGCAAACAGGAUUAGAUACCCCAGUAGUC
RNAcentral lists this ribosomal RNA (460 nucleotides) under uncultured bacterium. Its description in RNAcentral is "partial 16S ribosomal RNA". It matches the Rfam family "Bacterial small subunit ribosomal RNA", at positions 338 to 795 of the family's 1533-position model. The record is from RNAcentral.